UGCUCAUGGGCGUGGUCUCAACACACAGUCAGCUGUUGGGGAUCAGAGGCCGCACUCACCGGAGCAGUGAGGCAGAACUAACUGGGAGAGGGUCCUUCUGUGACACCUACUGCAUCACCGGGCUGUGUGAAGUGACUCAGCUGCCAGAACUCACACAAUAUCAUUCUACACCAAAACCUCAUGGGAAAAAUGCUCCACGACCCUCAGGCUUAAACAGCUGUACUGGCCGCUCCCCAGAUCUCCAGCUCCCUGACCCUCAAACUCCAACUGCAGCACCAGCUCCGCCCCGGGUCUCCAGCUCCACAAUCCUCAAACUACAACAGCAGCACCAGCUCCCCUGUGGAUCUCCAGCUCAAUGACUCUCAGACUUGGGAGGCGGCACCGGCUCCCCACCAAGCCUCCAGCUCCACAACCCUCAAACUAGAAAGCAGCACCGGCUACUCCCUGGGUCUCCAGUUCCCUCAAACUUCAGCUAUAGCACUGGCUCUUCCCCGUGGCCACCAGCUCUGCAAACCUCAACUUACACAGUGGUAGCACCAGCUCCUCCCUAGGUCUCCAGCUACACGACCGUCAAAAUUGAACUGCAACACCAGCUCCUCUUUGGCCUCCAGCUCCACAAUCCUCCAACAACAACAGCAACACCGGCUCCUCCCUGAAUCUCCAGCUCAACAACCCUCAGACUUGAGAGGCAGCACCGGCACCUCCCCAAGACUCCAGCUCCAUGACCCUCAGAUUUGAACAGCGGUAGCACCAGCUCCUGUCCAGGUCUCCAGCUUCACGAUCCUUAAACUAGAACAGCAGUACCGCCGCCUCCGUAGGUUUCCAGUUCCAUGAUCCUAAGACAUGAAUGAAAGAACUGGGUCACCCCAGGGCUCCAACUCCAAGACCCACAGAUUUGAACGGCAGCACCGGCUCUUCCUGGGAUCUGCAGCUCCACAGCCUUCAAACUAGAUCAGCAGCUCCGACUCCUCCCUGGGUCUCCAGCUACACAAUCCUCAGACAUGAACAAUAAUAGCACCGGCUCCUCCUUGGGUCUCCAGCUUCACUACCCUCAGACUAGAACAGCAACACCAGUUCCUCCCUGGGUCUCCAGCUCUACAAUCCUCAGACAUAAACAGCAGAAGCACCAGCUCCUACCCUUGUCUCCACUUCCACGACCCUCAAACUACAACAGCAGUACCGGCCUCUCCCCAGGUCUCCAGAUCCAUGACCCUCAAAAUAGAAUGGCAUCAUCGGAUCCCUCCUGGGUCUCCAGCUCCCAAACCCUCAAACUUCAAUUGACACACCGGAUGCUCCCCACAGUUAAACAGCAGCACGGGCCGUUCCCAAAAGCUCCAGAUCCACGACCCUCUGACUUAAAUGGCAGUAGCACCGGCUCCUCCCUAGGUCUCCAGUUCCACAACCCUCAAACUACACAGCAGCACCGGCUCCUCCCCAGGUCCACAACUCCACCACCCUCAUACGAGACACCAAGACUACCUCCUCCCCGCUCUCCAGCUACACGACCCUCAGUCUUGAACAGCAGCAGCUCCUCCCUGUGCCUCAAGCCCCAUGACCCUCAGACUUGAACAAGAACAACACCAUCUCCCCCCAGGGCUCCAGCUCGGGGACCCACAGAUUUAAACAGCAGCACCGGCUCUUCCUGUGAUCUCCAGCUCCACUAACCUCAAACUAGAAUAGCAGCACCAGCUCCUCCUUUGGUCUCCAGCUUCACUACCGUCAGGCUAGAACAGCAACACCGGUUCCUCCCUGGGUCUCCAGCUCAAUGACUCUCAGAUUUGAAAGGCAGCACCGGCUCCUCACAAAGUUUCUGGCUCCAAGGCCCUCAAACUAGAAUAGCAGCAGCUGCUGCAUCUUGGGUCUCCAGCUCCACAAUCCUCAAAGUAGAAAAGCAGCCCUGGCUCCUCCCCGAGUCUCCAGCUCCUCAAGUCUGAGGGUUGUAGAGCUGGAGACCCGGGGAGGAGUCAGUGCUGCUGUUCUACUUUGAGGGUCGUGGAUCUGGAGACCCAGGGUGGAGCCGGUGCUGCUGUUCUAGUGUGAGGGUCAUGGAGCUGGAAGACCCCGGGAGGAGCUGCUGCUGCUGUUCUAGUGUGAGGGUCAUGGAGCUGGAAGACCCCGGGAGGAGCUGCUGCUGCUCUCCUAGUUUAAAGGUCAUGGAGCUGGAGACCCGGAAAGGAGCCAUUUGAACAGCAGCACUGGCCUCUCCCCAGGUCUCAGGCUCCACGACCCUCAGACUUAAAAAGCUGUAGUACGGGCUUCUCCCUGGGUCUCCAGCUCUACAACCCUCAGACAUGAACAGCACCACCGGCUCCUCCCCCUGUCUCCAGUUCCACGAACCUCAAACUACAACAGCAGUACCAGCCUCUCCCCAGGUCCCCAGAUCCACGACCCUCAAAAUAGAAUGGCAUCAUCAGCUCCUCCCUGGGUCUCCAGCUCCCAAACCCUCAAACUUCAAUGGACACAGCACAUCCUCCCCACAGUUAAACAGCAGCAUGGGCUGUUCCCCAAAGCUCCAGAUCCAUGACCCUCUGACUUAAAUGGUGGUAGCACCAGCUCCUCCCUAGGUCUCCAGUUCCAUGACCCUCAAACUACACAGUAGCACCGGCCCCACCCCAGGUCCACAGCUCCACCAACCUCACAUUAGACACUAAGACUACCUCCUCCCCACUGUCCAGCUACACAACCCUCAGCCUUAAACAACAGCAGCACCAGCUCUUACCUGGGUCUCCAGCACCACAACCCUCAGCCUUAAACAACAGCAGCACCAGCUCCUCCCUGUGUCUCAAGCUCCACAACCCUCAGACUAGAACCGCACCCCUCCUCCCUGAGUCUGCAGCUCCAUGACCCUCAAACUACAACAGCAACACAGGCUCCUCCCUGAAUCUCCAGCUCAACAACUCUCAGACUUGAGAGGCAGAACCGGCAACUCCCCAGAACUCUAGAUCUGUUCAGACUAGAACAGCAACACCGGUUCCUCUCUGGAUCUCCAGCUCAGUGACUCUCAGACUUCAAAGGCAGCACCAGCUCCUCCGUGGAUCUCCAGAUCCACAACAUUCAAACCAACAUGGCUCCUCCCUGGGUCUGCAGCUCCACGACCCUCAAACUAGAACAAGACCUCUCCUCCCUGGGCCGCCAGCUUCCUGACCUUCAAACUACAACAACACUGCUCCUCCCUGGGUCUGCAGGUCCAUGACCCUCAGACCAGAACAAGACCUCUCCUCCCUGGGUCGCCAGCUUCCUGACCCUCGAAUUACAACAACCUUGCUCCUCCCUGGGUCUGCAGCUCCACAACCCUGAAACUAGAACAAAAUUUCUCCUACCUGAGUCGCCAGCUUCCUGACACUCGAACGACAACAAAAUUGCUCCUCCCUGGGUCGGCAGCUCCACGACCCUCAAACUCGAACAAGACUUCUCCUCCCCAGGGUGCCAGCUACCGGACCUUCAACUUACAUCAACAUUGCUCCUCCCUGGGUCUGCGGCUCCACGACCCUCAAACCAGAACAAGACCUCUCCUCCCUGGGUCGCCAGCUUCCUGACCCUCGAACUAAAACAACAAUGCUCCUCCCUGGGUCAGAAGCUCCACGACCCUGAAACUAGAACAAGACCUCUCCUCCCUGGGUCGCCAGUUUCCGGACCCUUGAACUACAACAAAAUGGCUCCUCCCUGGGUCUGCAGCUCCACGACCCUCGAACUCGAACAAGACUUGUCUUCCCCAAGUUGCCAGCUACCAGACCCUCGAACUACAACAACAUUGCUCCACCCUGGGUCUGUAGCUCCACGACCCUCAGACCGGAUCAAGACCUCUCCUCCCUGGGUCGCCAGCUUCCGGACCCUCAAAUUACAACAAAAUUGCUCCUCCCUGGGUCGGCAGCUCCACGACCCUCACAAUAGAACAAGACCUCUCCUCCCUGGGUCGCCAGCUUCCGGACCCUUGAACUACAACAAAAUUGCUCCUCCCUGGGUUGGCAGCUCCACGACCCUCAAACUCCAACAAGACUUCUCCUCCCCGAGUUGCCAGCUGCCAGACCCUCGAAUUACAACAACAUUGCCCCUCCCUGGGUCUGCAGCUCCACGACCCUCAGACUAGUACAAGACCUCUCCCUGGGUCGCCAGCUUCCUGACCGUCGAACUACAACAAAAUUGCUCCUCCCUGCGUCUGCAGCUCCACGACCCUCACACCAGAAGAAGACCUCUCCUCCCUGGGUCGCCAGCUUCCUGACCCUCGAACUACAACAAAAUUGCUCCUCCCUGGGUCUGCAGCUCCACGACCCUCAGACCAGAACAAGACCUCUCCUCCCUGGGUCGCCAGCUUUCUGACCCUCGAACUAUAACAACAAUGCUCCUGCCUCAGUCUGCAGCUCCACGACCCUGAAACUAGAACAAGACGUCUCCUCCCUAAGUCUCCAGCUCCAACACCCUCAGAUCUGAGCAGCGGCAGCACCAGCUCCUUUCUGGGUCUUCUGUUUCACGAUCCUUAAAUUAGAACAGCAGCACCAUCUUCUCCCUGGGUCUCCAGCUCCACGAAACUCAAGCUAGAAUAGCAGCACCGGCUCCUCUGGGAUCUUCAGCUCCACGACCCUAAGACAUCAGUGGCAGCACCGGCUCCUCCCCUGGACUCCAGCUCCAGGACCCUCAAACUUGAACAGAAACACCAGCUCCUCCCCAGGCCUCCAGCUCCUUGACCCUCAUAAACAAUCCCUUCUCAUGAAAUGUAGCAGUCAGGAAAACUGUAGAGGAAGUAAAUAAAUAAAUGUUUUCCUUUCAAAUUGAUGUUUCUUUUCUGUUCACGCAAGUCAGAAAACUUUU
Molecule: long non-coding RNA, 4806 nt
Filed under: Homo sapiens (human)
Lineage: Eukaryota; Metazoa; Chordata; Mammalia; Primates; Hominidae
Description: non-protein coding lnc-SULF2-2:3
Source: RNAcentral